Molecule: ribosomal RNA, 503 nt
Filed under: uncultured bacterium
Lineage: Bacteria
Description: bacterial SSU rRNA
Rfam family: Bacterial small subunit ribosomal RNA
Source: RNAcentral
UAGUCCACGCCGUAAACGAUGUCAACUAGCUGUCUGUGUCCUUGAGACGUGGGUAGCGUAGCUAACGCACUAAGUUGACCGCCUGGGGAGUACGGCCGCAAGGUUAAAACUCAAAUGAAUUGACGGGGGCCCGCACAAGCGGUGGAGCAUGUGGUUUAAUUCGAUGCAACGCGAAGAACCUUACCAUCCCUUGACAUCCAGAGAAUUUACUAGAGAUAGUUUAGUGCCUUCGGGAACUCUGAGACAGGUGCUGCAUGGCUGUCGUCAGCUCGUGUUGUGAAAUGUUGGGUUAAGUCCUAUAACGAGCGCAACCCCCAUGCUUAGUUGCCAGCACGUAAUGGUGGGAACUUUAAGCAGACUGCCCGCGUAAGCGGUGAGGAAGGAGGGGAUGAAGUCAAGUCAUCAUGGCCCUUACGCCUAGGGCUACACACGUGCUACAAUGGCAUAUACAAAGGGUCGCUACUUGGUAACAAGAUGCUAAUCUCUAAAGUAUGUCUCAGUUC